Molecule: long non-coding RNA, 1130 nt
Filed under: Homo sapiens (human)
Lineage: Eukaryota; Metazoa; Chordata; Mammalia; Primates; Hominidae
Description: HSALNT0010018
Source: RNAcentral
CAGCAGAACACUCCCUCUUCCCGUGUUCUGAACAGUCCCAAGGUUUUCCAGGGUAACAAGAUAGAGAAAAUUUUAUAAUAAUUGACAACAGAGUUUCUUUAAGGGAAAAGAGUCUUUGGUUCCAAGAGAUGACUGAUGGGUGCUUGGGGAGAGGAGCCUGGACUGGCACCCAGGCCCCUGGGGCAAAGGCAGCUGCUGGGCAUGAUAAGUGGAUGAAUGGAAUCUAGAAGUGAAGACAGGAAGUGGAGGGAGAGAGCAGAAACCUGCCUGGGGUGGUUCAGUAAAGUUUAUAAAACUGAGCAAGAGCUGGGUGAAGGAUAUUUUCAUUUGAUUGCAGAAAAGGAAGAAAGUACCGGAUUCCACACUGGGAUUGAUAUGUGUGGGACAAAGGUAGCUGGUUCAGAAAUUGGAGCUGAAAACCUUGAGAAGAGGUCCCUUGGAAGUGGCAGCAAUCUGGAGGAGAGCUUUGGGUUUCCAAAGGCCACAGAAUGGGUGGGAGGCACAAAGGCUUCUGCUCUAGAACUCCCUUCUUCUUACUCCUGAAAUGUUGGAUGAUGCUAUGGGAAACAGAUGAGUUUGUCCAGGGAACCAUGUGGAGUACGAACAGAGGGAAGGCAAGAAAGGAACUCGUCAAACGGAUCGAAGAUAAGAGAUGGAUGGGCCCGGGACAUCUUCCCCAGUGGCUCUUGUCCACGGGACACCUGGCUUGUACCCACAGAAAGUUGGCUUCCAGCCAUGCUUGAGUGAGAACAGUGAGGGCCCUUGCCUUCCUACAGUGAGUACUCGAUAAAUGAUCACUGCCAUUGUCACAUAAUAAUGUGGCUAUUAUGAUCAUGGACAGAGCAAAAAUAAGUGACUAUUUUUCAAGAGUCUAUUUGGUGUAGACUUCUCCAGAGGCAGAACUGUGGAAUAAAAUUAUUUCUAGUGGUCCCUCCCAGCCCCUUGGCUCCAUAAUUCUCCCACUUUAAUAUGUGACUAGUAAUUAAGAACUAUCUUGAAAUUUUGAUUUCUGGCCCAGAGUCUAUCAUUAUACUUCCAAAUUUUAUUGAGAAAAUAUUUGAAGCCAAAGAGAGAUUUUCAAUUUGUUGACUUUAAAAGAAGCAUUAUUCAUAUUCAUCCAACAAAUAUUC